CUUUGAUAGAUUUUAUUUUUUCAGUUUCACUUCCUUUGGAGUCUUCUUCAAGGAAGAACAAUGGGGAAGACUGACAUUCCAUGGAGGAAUAAAGCUAUGACUUUGGAUUUGUUUGCACAACUUUCUAAUCUACUAAGCAAAAAGGCUGCAUUUAAGUCCAAUGCAAACACUUUGUCCUUGCAUACCCCAGCCCCCACUGCAGGAGAGAAAAUUGUGCUGGUGUGUUUCAAGGCUGAAAGCAAAGGAAGGAAACCUUACGCCAAGAAAAGAGGGAAUUUAUCUGAAAGAUAUGAAAAUAUGAAGGCUCUUAAUACUUCCUGUGAAGCGCCCUGUGGAGUGGUUGUGGACAUUUCUAUUCUUGAUUAUGCACCUUACCCUACUAAUUUUACUCUGACUUCACAAAAUUAGAGAAUUAUAUUUUUCUCAUUGGC
RNAcentral lists this long non-coding RNA (431 nucleotides) under Fukomys damarensis (Damara mole-rat). RNAcentral's name for it is "lncRNA (ENSFDAG00000029431.1)". Lineage: Eukaryota; Metazoa; Chordata; Mammalia; Rodentia; Bathyergidae. The record is from RNAcentral.